RNAcentral lists this ribosomal RNA (200 nucleotides) under uncultured bacterium. RNAcentral's name for it is "partial 16S ribosomal RNA". It matches the Rfam family "Bacterial small subunit ribosomal RNA", at positions 8 to 223 of the family's 1533-position model. The record is from RNAcentral.
AGAGUUUGAUCCUGGCUCAGAAUCAACGCUGGCGGCGUGCCUAACACAUGCAAGUCGAACGAGAAAGUGGAGCAAUCCAUGAGUAAAGUGGCGACCGGGUGAGUAACACGUGACUAACCUGCCUUGAGUGGGGGAUAACCUCGGGAAACCGGGGCUAAUACCGCAUAACAUCGCAAGAUCAAAGGAGCAAUCCGCUGAAG